GCCCUCAUAGCUUAACUGGUAAAGCAGCUGCCUCUUAAGCAGUUGACUCCAGGUUCGAGUCCUGGUGGGGGCA
This 73-nucleotide transfer RNA is filed under the name Candidatus Nealsonbacteria bacterium CG_4_10_14_0_2_um_filter_40_15. Its description in RNAcentral is "tRNA-Lys". It matches the Rfam family "tRNA". Rfam says of the family: Transfer RNA (tRNA) molecules are approximately 80 nucleotides in length. Their secondary structure includes four short double-helical elements and three loops (D, anti-codon, and T loops). The record is from RNAcentral. Lineage: Bacteria; Candidatus Nealsoniibacteriota.